This 497-nucleotide ribosomal RNA is filed under the name uncultured bacterium. Its description in RNAcentral is "partial 16S ribosomal RNA". It matches the Rfam family "Bacterial small subunit ribosomal RNA", at positions 28 to 507 of the family's 1533-position model. The record is from RNAcentral.
GAUGAACGCUGGCGGCGUGCCUAAUACAUGCAAGUCGAGCGAACAGACGAGGAGCUUGCUCCUCUGACGUUAGCGGCGGACGGGUGAGUAACACGUGGAUAACCUACCUAUAAGACUGGGAUAACUUCGGGAAACCGGAGCUAAUACCGGAUAACAUGUUGAACCGCAUGGUUUAACAGUGAAAGACGGUCUUGCUGUCACUUAUAGAUGGAUCCGCGCCGCAUUAGCUAGUUGGUAAGGUAACGGCUUACCAAGGCAACGAUGCGUAGCCGACCUGAGAGGGUGAUCGGCCACACUGGAACUGGGACACGGUCCAGACUCCUACGGGAGGCAGCAGUAGGGAAUCUUUCGCAAUGGGCGAAAGCCUGACGGAGCAACGCCGCGUGAGUGAAGAAGGUCUUCGGAUCGUAAAACUCUGUUAUUAGGGAAGAACAAAUGUGUAAGUAACUAUGCACGUCUUGACGGUACCUAAUCAGAAAGCCACGGCUAACUACGUG